UUUAUAAUAAUAUAAAAAAAAUCAGUUUAUAUAAAAAAAAAUUCCAUUUGAUUUUUUUUGUAUGGAUGCAUCAUGCAUGGUUUUAUGAUAAAACACGUAUGUAUAAAACAAAUUAUUUGUUCCAAAUAAGACAUUUAUGAUAAAACAAAUUAUUUGUUCCAAACAGGACAUUUAUGAUAAAACAAAUUAUUUGUUCCAAACAAGACAUUUAUCAAAGGAGCACUAUCAGCCAUUGCAUCAAAUGGAGGGACUGCACAAAGAUUUGGUUAGGGAGACUACUGAUGGUGAACUAGUAGCUACAACAAAUAUGAGAGUUACAAAGGUGAAAAGAAACAUAAGGCGGUCGGUAAGAUAAGAUGCAUGAUUUUCCUUUUCAACUGUUAGUCAUAGAUUGACAGUACUUGUUUCAAUUUUCUUGGAUGGAUGAUGAAUGUAUUUGGGAAUGUAAAUGAAAAUAAAAAACUUAUAAUAUAUAUAUAUAUAUAUAUGUUAUCAAUGGAGGA
Long non-coding RNA from Magnolia sinica, 503 nucleotides. RefSeq lists it as uncharacterized. The record is from RefSeq and is a predicted model, not a curated record. NCBI's taxonomy places the organism in Eukaryota, Viridiplantae, Streptophyta, Magnoliopsida, Magnoliales, Magnoliaceae. The transcript is spliced from 2 exons.